GGCUUCGGCNNUCACUUUGGACGGCGUAUUAGCUAGAUGGUGGGUAACGGCUCACCAUGGCAAUGAUACGUAGCCGACCUGAGAGGGUAAUCGGCCACAUUGGGACUGAGACACGGCCCAAACUCCUACGGGAGGCAGCAGUAGGGAAUCUUCCACAAUGGACGAAAGUCUGAUGGAGCAACGCCGCGUGAGUGAAGAAGGGUUUCGGCUCGUAAAACUCUGUUGUUAAAGAAGAACAUAUCUGAGAGUAACUGUUCAGGUAUUGACGGUAUUUAACCAGAAAGCCACGGCUAACUACGUGCCAGCAGCCGCGGUAAUACGUAGGUGGCAAGCGUUGUCCGGAUUUAUUGGGCGUAAAGCGAGCGCAGGCGGUUUUUUAAGUCUGAUGUGAAAGCCUUCGGCUCAACCGAAGAAGUGCAUCGGAAACUGGGAAACUUGAGUGCAGAAGAGGACAGUGGAACUCCAUGUGUAGCGGUGAAAUGCGUAGAUAUAUGGAAGAACACCAGUGGCGAAGGCGGCUGUCUGGUCUGUAACUGACGCUGAGGCUCGAAAGUAUGGGUAGCAAACAGGAUUAGAUACCCUGGUAGUCCAUACCGUAAACGAUGAAUGCUAAGUGUUGGAGGGUUUCCGCCCUUCAGUGCUGCAGCUAACGCAUUAAGCAUUCCGCCUGGGGAGUACGGCCGCAAGGCUGAAACUCAAAGGAAUUGACGGGGGCCCGCACAAGCGGUGGAGCAUGUGGUUUAAUUCGAAGCUACGCGAAGAACCUUACCAGGUCUUGACAUACUAUGCAAAUCUAAGAGAUUAGACGUUCCCUUCGGGGACAUGGAUACAGGUGGUGCAUGGUUGUCGUCAGCUCGUGUCGUGAGAUGUUGGGUUAAGUCCCGCAACGAGCGCAACCCUUAUUAUCAGUUGCCAGCAUUAAGUUGGGCACUCUGGUGAGACUGCCGGUGACAAACCGGAGGAAGGUGGGGAUGACGUCAAAUCAUCAUGCCCCUUAUGACCUGGGCUACACACGUGCUACAAUGGAUGGUACAACGAGUUGCGAACUCGCGAGAGUAAGCUAAUCUCUUAAAGCCAUUCUCAGUUCGGAUUGUAGGCUGCAACUCGCCUACAUGAAGUCGGAAUCGCUAGUAAUCGCGGAUCAGCAUGCCGCGGUGAAUACGUUCCCGGGCCUUGUACACACCGCCCGUCACACCAUGAGAGUUUGUAACACCCAAAGUCGGUGGGGUAACCUUU
This 1236-nucleotide ribosomal RNA is filed under the name Lactiplantibacillus plantarum. RNAcentral describes it as "bacterial SSU rRNA". It matches the Rfam family "Bacterial small subunit ribosomal RNA", at positions 213 to 1443 of the family's 1533-position model. Lineage: Bacteria; Bacillati; Bacillota; Bacilli; Lactobacillales; Lactobacillaceae. The record is from RNAcentral.